GACGAACGCUGGCGGCGUGCUUAACACACGCAAGUCGAACGAUGAACCCGGAGCUUGCUCCGGCGGAUUAGUGGCGAACGGGUGAGUAACGCGUGAGUAACCUGCCCUUGACUCUGGGAUAACUGCUAGAAAUGGUAGCUAAUACCGGAUACGACUCUCGGUGGCAUCACCAGGGGGUGGAAAGAAUUUCGGUCAAGGCGAGAUGGACUCGCGGCCUAUCAGCUAGUUGGUGAGGUAACGGCUCACCAAGGCGACGACGGGUAGCCGGCCUGAGAGGGUGACCGGCCACGCUGGGACUGAGACACGGCACAGACUCCUACGGGAGGCAGCAGUGGGGAAUAUUGCACAAUGGGAGCAAGCCUGAUGCAGCGACGCCGCGUGAGGGAUGACGGCCUUCGGGUUGUAAACCUCUUUUAGUAGGGAAGAAGCGAAAGUGACGGUACCUGCAGAAAAAGCACCGGCUAACUACGUGCCAGCAGCCGCAGUAA
This 488-nucleotide ribosomal RNA is filed under the name uncultured bacterium. Its description in RNAcentral is "partial 16S ribosomal RNA". It matches the Rfam family "Bacterial small subunit ribosomal RNA", at positions 28 to 523 of the family's 1533-position model. The record is from RNAcentral.